GAACGCUGGCGGCAGGCCUAACACAUGCAAGUCGAGCGCACCUUCGGGUGAGCGGCGGACGGGUUAGUAACGCGUGGGAACAUACCCUUUUCUACGGAAUAGCCUCGGGAAACUGAGAGUAAUACCGUAUACGCCCUUCGGGGGAAAGAUUUAUCGGUGAAGGAUUGGCCCGCGUUUGAUUAGAUAGUUGGUGGGGUAAUGGCCUACCAAGUCUACGAUCAAUAGCUGGUUUGAGAGGAUGAUCAGCAACACUGUACUGAGACACGGCCCAGACUCCUACGGGAGGCAGCAGUGGGGAAUCUUAGACAAUGGGCGCAAGCCUGAUCUAGCCAUGCCGCGUGAGUGACGAAGGCCUUAGGGUCGUAAAGCUCUUUCGCCAGGGAUGAUAAUGACAGUACCUGGUAAAGAAACCCCGGCUAACUCCGUGCCAGCAGCCGCGGUAAUACGGAGGGGGUUAGCGUUGUUCGGAAUUACUGGGCGUAAAGCGCACGUAGGCGGAUUGGAAAGUAUGGGGUGAAAUCCCAGGGCUCAACCCUGGAACUGCCCUGUAAACUAUCAGUCUAGAGUUCGAGAGAGGUGAGUGGAAUUCCAAGUGUAGAGGUGAAAUUCGUAGAUAUUUGGAGGAACACCAGUGGCGAAGGCGGCUCACUGGCUCGAUACUGACGCUGAGGUGCGAAAGUGUGGGGAGCAAACAGGAUUAGAUACCCUGGUAGUCCACACCGUAAACGAUGAAUGCCAGACGUCGGGGGGCUUGCCCUUCGGUGUCACACCUAACGGAUUAAGCAUUCCGCCUGGGGAGUACGGUCGCAAGAUUAAAACUCAAAGGAAUUGACGGGGGCCCGCACAAGCGGUGGAGCAUGUGGUUUAAUUCGAAGCAACGCGCAGAACCAUACCAACCCUUGACAUCCUAGGACCGCCAGAGAGAUCUGGUUUCCACUUCGGUGGCCUAGUGACAGGUGCUGCAUGGCUGUCGUCUGCUCGUGUCGUGAGAUGUUCGGUUAAGUCCGGCAACGAGCGCAACCCACAUCCUUAGUUGCCAGCAGUUCGGCUGGGCACUCUAGGGAAACUGCCCGUGAUAAGCGGGAGGAAGGUGUGGAUGACGUCAAGUCCUCAUGGCCCUUACGGGUUGGGCUACACACGUGCUACAAUGGCAUCUACAGUGAGUUAAUCUCCAAAAGAUGUCUCAGUUCGGAUUGGGGUCUUCAACUCGACCCCAUGAAGUCGGAAUCGCUAGUAAUCGCGUAACAGCAUGACGCGGUGAAUACGUUCCCGGGCCUUGUACACACCGCCCGUCACACCAUGGGAGUUGGUUCUACCCGACGACGCUGCGCUAACCUUCGGGGGGCAGGCGGCCACGGUAGGAUCAGCGACUGGGGUGAAGUCGUAACAAGGUA
This 1394-nucleotide ribosomal RNA is filed under the name metagenome. Its description in RNAcentral is "bacterial SSU rRNA". It matches the Rfam family "Bacterial small subunit ribosomal RNA". The record is from RNAcentral.